CCUACUGGGGACAUCAUUGAGGCAUCUUGGUCAAUGGCCGGAAGGCUGAACCAGCCAUGUCGCGUGAAGUUCCUUUCCCUCUUUUCUUUCCCCUUCUUUUUUUCUUUCUCCCUAAUGGUCACGUGUGGCCAGACGAGAGUACCGUACGAAUAAGCAUCGGCUAACUCCGUGCCAGCAUCCGCUGUAAUACGGGGGAUGCAAGCGUUAUCCGGAUUUAUUGGGUUUAAAGGGUGCGUAGGCUGUGAGGUAAGUCAGCGGUGAAAUGCCCCCGCUCAACGGGGUGAAGUGCCAUUGAUACUGCCUUGCUGGAAUGCGGAUGCCGUGGGAGGAAUGUGUGGUGUAGCGGUGAAAUGCAUAGAGAUCACACAGAACACCGAUUGCGAAGGCAUCUCACGAAUCCGCGAUUGACGCUGAUGCACGAAAGCGUGGGUAUCAAACAGGAUUAGAGAAAAGGGUAGUC
RNAcentral lists this ribosomal RNA (460 nucleotides) under uncultured bacterium. RNAcentral's name for it is "partial 16S ribosomal RNA". It matches the Rfam family "Bacterial small subunit ribosomal RNA", at positions 338 to 795 of the family's 1533-position model. The record is from RNAcentral.